This 178-nucleotide transfer RNA is filed under the name Wenzhouxiangella marina. Its description in RNAcentral is "tRNA-Ser". Lineage: Bacteria; Pseudomonadati; Pseudomonadota; Gammaproteobacteria; Chromatiales; Wenzhouxiangellaceae. The record is from RNAcentral.
GAACCGAGCGUAGCGAGCUCGGUGCGAAGCAAUCCGGCGCAGCCGGACGAGCGGCACAGCCGCGAAGCCAAUGCGGCGGUCUCGAAAACCGUUAACGGGUGAACGCCCGUUCGAGGGUUCGAACCGAGCCGCAGGCGAGCUCGCUGGAGCGAAGCGACAGCUAUCCCUCCGCGGUUCG